Molecule: RNA transcript, 3086 nt
Organism: Neoarius graeffei (lesser salmon catfish)
Lineage: Eukaryota; Metazoa; Chordata; Actinopteri; Siluriformes; Ariidae
Exons: 6
Source: RefSeq, a predicted model, not a curated record
AUAUUUUGAUAAGGGCUUUUAUUUUGACAUUCUAAUUUCUAAGACUUUGGUAUGAUGUAACUUCCUGUUUCUGGAGUAGCCAUUUUUCAGUUGUUCAAGGUGAAGGACACAUGUCAGCUCAGCUCCUCUGAAACUUUAUCUUUCCUUUUGGUGUGGCAUUGCUAUUACAUGUUGAUCCUGGGAUUGAGAUGCUGGCCUCUUCUGCCCCUCGGACCUGCUUGAUCCAUCCUGGUGCCCUGUGUCUGGUCGGAGUUUUAUCGCCCCACUCCUGUGAAGGACGGCCCCAUGAGGACAGUUGAGGGUUAUACCUGUUAAAACUGUUAAUAUUAUAGUCAGGCUGUCUGUUGUUGCCCAAAUGAGGAUGGGUUCCCUUUUGAGUCUGGUUCCUCUCGAGGUUGGGUUCCCUUUUGAGUCUGGUUCCUCUCGAGGUUUCUUCCUCAUGUCGUCUGAGGGAGUUUUUCCUUGCCACCGUCGCCACAGGCUUGCUCAUUGGGGAUAGAUUAGGGAUAAAAUUAGCUCAUGUUUUAAGUCAUUCAAAUUCUGUAAAGCUGCUUUGCGACAAUGUUUAUUGUUAAAAGCGCUGUACAAAUAAACUUGAUUUGAUUUGAUUAUCUGAUGAGAAGUUCCUCAAGUGGCAGAGAUGGCAGGAGUCUCUGCAGGAGCUGGACUCACAAUGCUUUGAGAGGUUUUCAUCCUGGGAGCGUCUGACAAGAGCUGUAGCACGUCUGAGGCACAUAGCCCAGAGUUUCCACGAAUUCUCACCUGACACAGGAUGUGUCGGAUGGCAUCUCUGCAAGAAAGGAGUAACAGCUUCAGAGCUUACUGCCACAGAGCGCGUCAUCAUCAAAACUGUACAGCAUGAGGUGUACGCAGAUGAGAUAAGAUGUAUUCAGCAGGGACAAGACUUACCUGCACACAGUCCUCUGAAGAAACUUCACCCUGUGUUAGAUGCAGAGGGUCUGCUACGUGUCGGAGGCCGAAUCACUCACUCGAACUUGCCGACUGAUGAGUCUCACCCACUCCUUAUUCCUGGCAAGCACCAUGUUGCCACAUUGCUCAUUCGUCACCACCACUUCAGAGUGCAACACCAAGGAAGGCACUUCACUGAAGGAGCAGUGCGUGCAAGUGGUCUAUGGAUAGUGGGAGUCAAGCGAGCCAUCAGCAGCGUGGUGUUCAAGUGUGUAAUAUGCAGGCGGUUGCGUGGCAAACUGGAACAGCAGCAGAUGGCGGACCUUCCUCAAGAGCGCCUAAAGCAGGAACCUCCAUCUACAUAGGGUUGGACGUCUUCGGACUCUGGGAGGUCGUAACCCGACGGACCCGAGGUGGUAGUGCCAACAGUAAGAGAUGGGCAGUACUGUUCACGUGCAUGUCCACAUAGAAGUGAUUGAGACAAUGAGUGCCUCAAGCUGCAUCAAUGCCCUCCGCAGGUUCUUCGCAAUUAGGGGACCAGCGAAACAGCUACGUUCAGAUCGUGGAAUGAACUUUGCAGGUGCCAACUCAAACUUGAAGGCUGCAACAGAAGCUGAGGAAGAAAGUGUGAAUACUUACCUGUGCUCUCAGAGGUGCAUCUGGGUCUUCAACCAGCCGCAUGCCUCCAAUAUGGGUGGGAGCUGGGAGCGCAUGAUAGGUACAGCACGUCGCAUCCUUGAUUCUAUGUUGCUCCAAACUGGAAGGUCAAAGGUCACUCACGAAGUCCUGUGCACGUUCAUGGCAGAAGUCACUGCUGUAAUCAACUCCAGGCCAUUAAUACCAGUCUCCUCAGAUCCUGAAGCGCUGCUGAUAUUUACUCUAGCGAUGCUGCUCACGCAGAAGAGUGGUACCCCACCAGCUCCUCCUGCAGCCGGCUCAGAGGCCAGUGUGUUGAAGCAGAAAUGGAAGAGAGUACAGGCCUUAGCAGAGACAUUCUGGGCAAGAUGGAGAUGGGAGUACUUGAGCGUACUUCAAGCUAGGCAGAAGUGGCACGCUAAGAAACCAAACCUCAAGGAAGGAGACAUAGUGCUAUUGAAAGACAAGCAAGCCAGAAGAAAUGAGUGGUCCAUUGGAAGAGUUGAGAAGACCUUCCUAAGUGAUGAUGGACUUGUCAGAAAAGUGGACGUCAAGGUCGCAUCUCAUCAUCCGCCGAAGACUUACCUGAGACCUGUCUCUGACAUGGUUCUACUCCUGGAGGCAGAGACUGUUUAGGUUAAGGGGGUGUGGCAUCUAGGGAUGCCAGGUGGGGAGUGUGAUGCCACGGGGAACAUAUUUUGAUAAGGGCUUUUAUUUUGACAUUCUAAUUUCUAAGACUUUGGUAUGAUGUAACUUCCUGUUUCUGGAGUAGCCAUUUUUCAGUUGUUCAAGGUGAAGGACACAUGUCAGCUCAGCUCCUCUGAAACUUUAUCUUUCCUUUUGGUGUGGCAUUGCUACCCCAUGGAAACAGGGACCAAUUCCCCCGAAACCUGCUCUCUGCACCUAUUAACUCCUCCAUGCCCAUCAGAACCACAAGCAAGCCCAGGCAGGACUGUAGGCACAGAGUGAAGGCACAGGAUCAGGACUUCCAUGAGGAGACUGAUGCAUCAGACAGAGGACUGUGGGGCUGUUUUGUCCUAGGUGGUGGAGGGGGAGGAGUAUCCGAUGCUGUACAUCAGCCGCAAGCUCUUCAUGUGAGAGUCAAAAUACAGCCCGAGAGAAAAGGAGUGUCUGGCCAUCAAGUGGGUGGUCCUCACUCUCUGCUAGUAUGUGCUUGGAUGCCCAUUAACCCUCUGUUUCGACCAUGCCCCGCUCCAGUGGCUGCACCACAUGAAGGAUGCCAAUGUGCUGAUCACUUGUAGGUAUCUGGCCCUUCAGCCCUUUAAAUUCAAGGUGGUCCACAGGCCAGGGGGCACAGAUGGUGGUGUUAGAUUAUUUCUCCCACCAGGAGGAGGAGUCAGCUGCAGGCCAGAUGGCUUCCCGGCCUGAAUCAGGCAAUGGUGGUAUGUGGCAGUGGGGGCAUGGUCGAGCAUCGGCUGUGAAUGACAGCCAGGAAUGAGAGAGAGAGGAGCAUCACACCAUCGCAUGUGUAGUGUGUUCAGUCACUGAAAAGUGUAAAAAUAAAGAACACCUGUUCUGAA